GACGAACGCUGGCGGCGUGCUUAACACAUGCAAGUCGAACGGAAAGGCCCGGCUCUUGUGGGGUGCUCGAGUGGCGAACGGGGGAGUAACACGUGAGUAACCUGCCCUUGAAUUUGGGAUAACUUCAGGAAACUGGGGCUAAUACCGGAUAGGAGCUCCUGCUGCAUGGUGGGGGUUGGAAAGUUUCGGCGGUUGGGGAUGGACUGGCGGGUUAUCAGCUUGUUGGUCGGGUAGUGGCUUACCAAGGCUUUGACGGGUAGCCGGCCUGAGAGGGUGACCGGCGACCAUGGGACUGAGAGAGGGACCAGACGCCUACGGUAGGUAGCAGUCGGGAACAUUGCACAAUGGGCGGAAGCCUGAUGUAGCAGCGUCGGGAGCGGGAUGACGGCCUUCGGGGUGUAAACCGAUGUCGACGUUGACGAAGCCUGAGUGACGGUAAUGAGUAAAGAAGCAACGGCUAACUACGUG
RNAcentral lists this ribosomal RNA (468 nucleotides) under uncultured bacterium. RNAcentral's name for it is "partial 16S ribosomal RNA". It matches the Rfam family "Bacterial small subunit ribosomal RNA", at positions 28 to 507 of the family's 1533-position model. The record is from RNAcentral.